This 484-nucleotide ribosomal RNA is filed under the name uncultured bacterium. RNAcentral describes it as "partial 16S ribosomal RNA". It matches the Rfam family "Bacterial small subunit ribosomal RNA", at positions 30 to 507 of the family's 1533-position model. The record is from RNAcentral.
AUUGAACGCUGGCGGCAGGCCUAACACAUGCGAGUCGAGCGGAUGAAGGGAGCUUGCUCCUGGAUUCAGCGGAGGACGGGUGAGUAAUGCCUAGGGAUCUGCCUGGUAGUGGGGGAUAACGUCCGGAAACGGGCGCUAAUACCGCAUACGUCCUGAGGGAGAAAGUGGGGGAUCUUCGGACCUCACGCUAUCAGAUGAGCCUAGGUCGGAUUAGCUAGUUGGUGGGGUAAAGGCCUACCAAGGCGACGAUCCGUAACUGGUCUGAGAGGAUGAUCAGUCACACUGGAACGGAGACACGGUCCAGACUCCUACGGGAGGCAGCAGUGGGGAAUAUUGGACAAUGGGCGAAAGCCUGAUCCAGACAUGCCGCGUGUGUGAAGAAGGUCUUCGGAUGGUAAAGCACUUUAAGUUGGGAGGAAAGGCAGUAAGUUAAUACCUUGCUGUUUUGACGUUACCAACAGAAUAAGCACCGGCUAACUUCAUG